GCGCACGGGGGCAAACCUUGGUGGCGAGUGGCGAACGGGUGAGUAAUACAUCGGAACGUGUCCUGUAGUGGGGGAUAGCCCGGCGAAAGCCGGAUUAAUACCGCAUACGCUCUGCGGAGGAAAGCGGGGGAUCCUUCGGGACCUCGCGCUACAGGGGCGGCCGAUGGCAGAUUAGCUAGUUGGUGGGGUAAAGGCCUACCAAGGCGACGAUCUGUAGCUGGUCUGAGAGGANGACCAGCCACACUGGGACUGAGACACGGCCCAGACUCCUACGGGAGGCAGCAGUGGGGAAUUUUGGACAAUGGGCGCAAGCCUGAUCCAGCAAUGCCGCGUGUGUGAAGAAGGCCUUCGGGUUGUAAAGCACUUUUGUCUUGAA
RNAcentral lists this ribosomal RNA (376 nucleotides) under 2,4-D-degrading bacterium 001. RNAcentral's name for it is "bacterial SSU rRNA". It matches the Rfam family "Bacterial small subunit ribosomal RNA", at positions 69 to 445 of the family's 1533-position model. The record is from RNAcentral. Lineage: Bacteria; Pseudomonadati; Pseudomonadota; Betaproteobacteria; Burkholderiales.